UGGGGAAUAUUGCACAAUGGGCGCAAGCCUGAUGCAGCCAUGCCGCGUGUAUGAAGAAGGCCUUCGGGUUGUAAAGUACUUUCAGCGGGGAGGAAGGGAGUAAAGUUAAUACCUUUGCUCAUUGACGUUACCCACAGAAGAAGCACCGGCUAACUCCGUGCCAGCAGCCGCGGUAAUACGGAGGGUGCAAGCGUUAAUCGGAAUUACUGGGCGUAAAGCGCACGCAGGCGGUUUGUUAAGUCAGAUGUGAAAUCCCCGGGCUCAACCUGGGAACUGCAUCUGAUACUGGCAAGCUUGAGUCUCGUAGAGGGGGGUAGAAUUCCAGGUGUAGCGGUGAAAUGCGUAGAGAUCUGGAGGAAUACCGGUGGCGAAGGCGGCCCCCUGGACGAAGACUGACGCUCAGGUGCGAAAGCGUGGGGAGCAAACAGG
Molecule: ribosomal RNA, 429 nt
Filed under: Chloroflexota bacterium
Lineage: Bacteria; Bacillati; Chloroflexota
Description: Chloroflexi bacterium partial 16S ribosomal RNA
Rfam family: Bacterial small subunit ribosomal RNA
Source: RNAcentral